CGCUGGCGGCGUGCUUAACACAUGCAAGUCGAACGAAUGGUAGAGGGCUUGCUCUCUAUCGUUAGUGGCGGACGGGUGCGUAACACGUGAGGAACAUACCCAUCGGCGGGGGAUAGCCGGCCCAACGGCCGGGUAAUACCGCGUACGACCUUUUGAGCGCAUGCUCGAGGGGUGAAAGCAGCAAUGCACCGGUGGAGUGCCUCGCGGCCUAUCAGCUUGUUGGUGAGGUCGCGGCUCACCAAGGCGACGACGGGUAGCUGGUCUGAGAGGAUGGCCAGCCACAUUGGGACUGAGACACGGCCCAGACUCCUACGGGAGGCAGCAGUGGGGAAUAUUGCGCAAUGGCCGAAAGGCUGACGCAGCGACGCCGCGUGUGGGAUGAAGGUCCUCGGAUUGUAAACCACUGUCAGGAGGGACGAAUGCCGGGCAACCGGUUUGACGGUACCUCCAGAGGAAGCACCGGCUAACUCCGUG
This 474-nucleotide ribosomal RNA is filed under the name uncultured bacterium. Its description in RNAcentral is "bacterial SSU rRNA". It matches the Rfam family "Bacterial small subunit ribosomal RNA", at positions 34 to 507 of the family's 1533-position model. The record is from RNAcentral.